UAUCCUGAAGCUAAAGUUUAUUCGAGUUAUGAGUUGUGAUCUUCAUAUUUUUCAGAAAUUUGAUAUGAUGAUUUUUAUUUGGUAAUUUCGGACUGAUUUUAUGACUUCAUUUUGAUUGAUCCAGAACAGCUGGAGCUGCGAAAAUUGAAGUGUGAAGCAAAAGUUUCAACUAUGCGGUGUUUGUUAUUUUUUGGCUAUAUUUUGAAUAAAUAUUUUUUGUUAAAACUUAUGUUCGAAAUUUAAUUUGAAUACUGAGAUUGUAAUUUGAGAGUUGAGACUAUUUGUUAUACAAAUUAUUAAUGCUUUUUGGUUAUUACUAUACUUUAAUAUUUCAAUUUAUUGUAGUAUUUAGUUGUGAAUUAAGUAUUUUAAUAUUAAUUGUAAUUGCCGCUAUAAGCUUUAUUUAUCAAUUAUUUAGUAUAUUUGUUGUGGCAAUUAUAAUUAAUUAUAGCGGCAUUUAUAAUAGUUGUUAUUGUAUAGUAUUUAGCGGCAUUUAUAAUAGUUGUUAUUGCAUACUAUUUAGCGGCAUUUAUAAUAGUUGUUAUUGUAUAAUAUUUAGCGGCAUUUAUUUAGAUUUUUACCAACCGCCGGAAUAAAUGCCGCUAAAACUUUUAGCGACCCUACCAAUAGCGGCAAUUAUCGUAAUUGCCACGGAAUCAUUUAGCGGCAAUUAUAAUUGCCGCUAAUUUAAAAAAUUAUCGCCGCUAAAACUUAAUUUUGUUGU
RNAcentral lists this long non-coding RNA (724 nucleotides) under Ananas comosus (pineapple). RNAcentral's name for it is "long non-coding RNA (ACOM_LNC036519)". The record is from RNAcentral. Lineage: Eukaryota; Viridiplantae; Streptophyta; Magnoliopsida; Poales; Bromeliaceae.